Long non-coding RNA from Cyanistes caeruleus (blue tit), 377 nucleotides. RefSeq lists it as uncharacterized. Lineage: Eukaryota; Metazoa; Chordata; Aves; Passeriformes; Paridae. The record is from RefSeq and is a predicted model, not a curated record.
AUAAAACUGAUCUUGACUCUGUAAUGUGGAGUGAAGAAAAAGCAAGUAAAAAAAUGUACUGGGAAGGAAAGAAACCGAACACCAAGCAGAGAGAGGUCAUCUGUGUGAGACCCUGAUGUUGUGAGCAGUCAGGAUAACUAGCUAAGAACAUAAACUGUGAUUAACAUGCAAGCAAAGAAUAAAAGGGGCUCUUCAGGCAGCAGUUGCCAUCACUGGCUGGGUGAGGAGGGCUUCACCUCUUGGUGUCAUCUCUUAUUUGGCCCUGAGGAUAAUGAGCUGAAUGCAAGAUGGAUGACUCACAUGGAGCACCAUUCAAUUUGAAGAACUCCAAGCAAAAAAGAAAGCCUUGAAAUGAGAAACCUGAAAAUAAAUCAGGA